Molecule: ribosomal RNA, 171 nt
Filed under: Yersinia enterocolitica W22703
Lineage: Bacteria; Pseudomonadati; Pseudomonadota; Gammaproteobacteria; Enterobacterales; Yersiniaceae
Rfam family: Bacterial large subunit ribosomal RNA
Source: RNAcentral
GGUUAAGCGACUAAGCGUACACGGUGGAUGCCUAGGCAGUCAGAGGCGAUGAAGGGCGUGCUAAUCUGCGAAAAGCGUCGGUAAGGUGAUAUGAACCGUUAUAACCGACGAUACCCGAAUGGGGAAACCCAGUGCAAUUCGUUGCACUAUUGCAUGGUGAAUACAUAGCCA